CUAAAGGCUCUUUUAAGAGCCACCACAUCACACAGAAGAGCUGUA
Regulatory RNA element from Amazona aestiva (blue-fronted amazon), 45 nucleotides. It matches the Rfam family "Histone 3' UTR stem-loop". From Rfam's summary of the family: The mRNAs of metazoan histone genes lack a poly-A tail. Lineage: Eukaryota; Metazoa; Chordata; Aves; Psittaciformes; Psittacidae. The record is from Rfam.